This 185-nucleotide ribosomal RNA is filed under the name uncultured bacterium. Its description in RNAcentral is "partial small subunit ribosomal RNA". It matches the Rfam family "Bacterial small subunit ribosomal RNA", at positions 26 to 218 of the family's 1533-position model. The record is from RNAcentral.
AGCCUGAACGCUGGCGGCGUGGCUAAGACAUGCAAGUCGAACGGACGUAGCAAUACGUCAGUGGCGGACGGGUGAGUAAUGAAUCGCUAACGUACCCCGGAGCCAGGGAUAGCUGCCCGAAAGGGCAGGUAAUACCUGAUGAGACCACAAGCAGGCAUCUGCUGGUGCUCAAAGCCGCAAGGCAC